RNAcentral lists this ribosomal RNA (498 nucleotides) under uncultured bacterium. Its description in RNAcentral is "partial 16S ribosomal RNA". It matches the Rfam family "Bacterial small subunit ribosomal RNA", at positions 28 to 508 of the family's 1533-position model. The record is from RNAcentral.
GAUGAACGCUGGCGGCGUGCCUAAUACAUGCAAGUCGAGCGAACAGACGAGGAGCUUGCUCCUCUAACGUUAGCGGCGGACGGGUGAGUAACACGUGGAUAACCUACCUAUAAGACUGGGAUAACUUCGGGAAACCGGAGCUAAUACCGGAUAAUAUAUUGAACCGCAUGGUUCAAUAGUGAAAGACGGUUUUGCUGUCACUUAUAGAUGGAUCCGCGCCGCAUUAGCUAGUUGGUAAGGUAACAGCUUACCAAGGCAACGAUGCGUAGCCGACCUGAGAGGGUGAUCGGCCACACUGGAACUGAGACACGGUCCAGACUCCUACGGGAGGCAGCAGUAGGGAAUCUUCCGCAAUGGGCGAAAGCCUGACGGAGCAACGCCGCGUGAGUGAUGAAGGUCUUCGGAUCGUAAAACUCUGUUAUUAGGGAAGAACAAAUGUGUAAGUAACUAUGCACGUCUUGACGGUACCUAAUCAGAAAGCCACGGCUAACUACGUGC